This 252-nucleotide ribosomal RNA is filed under the name uncultured bacterium. RNAcentral describes it as "partial 16S ribosomal RNA". It matches the Rfam family "Bacterial small subunit ribosomal RNA", at positions 524 to 776 of the family's 1533-position model. The record is from RNAcentral.
UACGGAGGGUGCAAGCGUUGUCCGGAAUCACUGGGCGUAAAGGGCGCGUAGGCGGCUCAUGAAGGCUGUGGUGAAAGUCCGGGGCUCAACCUCGGAUCGGCCGUGGCGACUCGUGGGCUGGAGCACUGUAGAGGCGGGUGGAAUUCCGGGUGGAGCGGUGAAAUGCGUAGAGAUUGGAAAGAACACCGAUGGCGAAGGCACUUUACUGGGCUAUUACUAACACUCAGAGACGAAGCUAGGGUAGCAAAUGGG